GACGAACGCUGGCGGCGUGCUUAACACAUGCAAGUCGAACGGUGAAGCGCCUUCCUUUUUGGUGGGUGUGGAUGAGUGGCGAACGGGUGAGUAACACGUGAGUAACCUGCCCCCUUCUUCUGGAUAACCGCAUGAAAGUGUGGCUAAUACGGGAUAUUCUGGGUCUGUCGCAUGAUGGGUCUGGGAAAGAUAUUGUUUCGGUGGGGGAUGGGCUCGCGGCCUAUCAGCUUGUUGGUGGGGUGAUGGCCUACCAAGGCGGUGACGCGUAGCCGGCCUGAGAGGGUGGGCGGUCACACUGGGACUGAGACACGGCCCAGACUCCUACGGGAGGCAGCAGUGGGGAAUAUUGCACAAUGGGGGCAAGCCUGAUGCAGCGACGCCGCGUGAGGGAUGGAGGCCUUCGGGUUGUGAACCUCUUUCGCCAGUGAAGCAGGCCUGCCUCGUUUGUGGGUGGGUUGACGGUAGCUGGAUAAGAAGCGCCGGCUAACUACGUG
Molecule: ribosomal RNA, 494 nt
Filed under: uncultured bacterium
Lineage: Bacteria
Description: partial 16S ribosomal RNA
Rfam family: Bacterial small subunit ribosomal RNA
Source: RNAcentral